This is a long non-coding RNA of Anolis carolinensis (green anole), 7422 nucleotides long. RefSeq lists it as uncharacterized. Lineage: Eukaryota; Metazoa; Chordata; Lepidosauria; Squamata; Anolidae. The transcript is spliced from 2 exons. The record is from RefSeq and is a predicted model, not a curated record.
AUGUGUGUUUUCCUCGUGCAGUUGUUAGGUGUGUUUCCCUCUCGUGCAAGAGAAGUGCCUGCGCCUUUGUGUCUCCCCUCUUUGCGUGUCUUUCCCGCUUGGCGUUUGCAUCUUGCAAUGUGUACAUAGGUAUAUCAUGUCUUCUCUCUUGCAACGUGUGGUUUUGUGCAUGUUUCCCACUUGCAAUGUGUGAACUGUCUCGUCUAAUGCUGGUGUGUCUCCCUCUCUUACAGUGUGCAUUUGUGUUACUGUCUUGCAGUGUGUGUGUGUGUGUACAUACAGUAUAUCAUUUUUCUCUCUUGCACUGUGUUUUUUGUGCAUGUUGCAAUGCGUGUGGAUUUGGUAAUCUGACUGUGUCUUGCAAUACAGUAGAGUCUCACUUAUCCAACAUAAACGGGCCGGCAGAACGUUGGAUAAGCGAAUAUGUUGGAUAAUAAGGAGAGAUUAAGGAAAAGCCUAUUAAAUAUCAAAUUAGGUUAUGAUUUUACAAAUUAAGCACCAAAACGUCAUGUUAUACAACAAAUUUGGCAGAAAAAGUAGUUCAAUACACAGCAAUGCUAUGUUGUAAUUACUGUAUUUACGAAUUUAGCACCAAAGAAUCACGAUAUAUUGAAAACGUUGACUACAAAAAUGCGUUGGAUAAUCCAGAACGUUGGAUAAGCGAAUGUUGGAUAAGUGAGACUCUACUGUAUUGCUGUGCCUCCCUCUCUAACGUGUGCAUUUGUGUAUCUUUCUUGCAGUGUGUGUGUGUACAUACAGUAGAGUCUCACUUAUCCAAGCUAAACGGGCCAGCAGAACCUUGGAUAAGCGAAUAAAAUGGAUAAUAAGGAAGGAUUAAGGAAAAGCCAAGUUAUGAUUUUACAAAUUAAGCAUCAAAACAUCAUGUUAUACAACAAAUUUGACAGAAAAAGUACAGUAGAGUCUCACUUAUCCAACACUCACUUAUCCAAAGUUCUGGAUUAUCCAAGACAUUUUUGUAGUCAAUGUUUUCAAUAUAUCGUGAUAUUUUGGUGCUAAAUUCGUAAAUACAGUAAUUACAACAUAACAUUACUGCGUAUUGAACUACUUUUUCUGUCAAAUUUGUUGUAUAACAUGAUGUUUGGUGCUUAAUUUGUAAAAUCAUAACCUAAUUUGAUGUUUAAUAGGCUUUUCCUUAAUUUCUCCUUAUUAUCCAACAUAUUUACUUAUCCAAUGUUCUGCCGGCCCGUUUACGUUGGAUAAGCGAGACUCUACUGUAGUUCAAUACGCAGUAAUGUUAUGUUGUAAUUACUGUAUUUAUGAAUUUAGCACCAAAAUAUCAUGAUAUAUUGAAAACAUUGACUACAAAAAUGCCUUGGAUAAUCCAGAACCUUGGAUAAGCGAGUCUUGGAUAAGUUAGACUCUACUGUAUAUCAUUUUACUCUCUUGCACUGUGUUUUGUGCGUGUUUACCACUUGCAGUAUAUGUGCCUUUCCCUCCUUUAGUGUCUGCAUACAUGUUUGCCUCCCUUGCGAUGUAUUUGUGUUUCCCACUUGCGAUGUGUAUGGGUUUGGUAAUCUGGUCUUUUGCAAUGCUGGUGUGCCUCCCUGUCUUAAAGUGUGCACUUGCUGUUUCUCUCUGGCAGUGUGUACAUCAUUUUUCUCUCUUCCCGUGUGGGUUUGCACAUGCUUCCCACUUCCAAUGUGUGUGUCUUUCCCUCUCUUGCAAUAAAAAUUUGCGUUAUUUGCCUCGCUUGCAAUGUAUGUUUGGUGUGUUCCUGUGAGUUUUCGGGGCUGUAUGAUUAUGUUGGAGAAGCAUUAUCUCCUGACAUUUCGCCCACAUCUAUGGCAGGCACCAUCAGAGGUUGUGAGGUCUGUUGGAAACUAGGCAAGUGGGGUUUAUAUAUCUGCAGGAGAAAGAUCUCUUAUCUGUUUGAGGCAAGUGUGAAUGUUGCAGUUGGCCACCUUGAUUAGCAUUGAAUAGCCUGGCAGCUUCAAAGCCUGGCUGUUUCCUUCCUGGGGGAAUCCUGUGUUAGUAUAUGUUAACUGGCCCUGAUUGUUUCCUGCCUGGAAUUCCCAUUUUCUGAAUGUUGUUCUGCUUCUUGGCAGGGGGCUGGACUGGAUGGUCCAUGAGGUCUCUUCCAACUCUACUAUUCUAUGAUUCUAUGAUUUACUGUCCUGAUUUUAGAGAUAUAUAAACUCCACUUACCGAGUUUCCAACAGACCUCACAACCUCAGAGGAUGCCUGCCAUAGAUGUGGGUGAAACGUCAGGAGAGAAUGCUUCUGUAACAUGGCCAUACAGCCUGAAAAACUCACACCAACCCAAUGUACAUACAGUAUAUCAUUUUCCUCUCUUGCAAUGUGUGCAUCUUUCCCUCUUUUAAUGUGUGCACAUGUGUCUACCUCCCUUGCAAUGUAUGUGGGUUUGGUAAUCUGACUGUGUCUUGCAAUGUUGGUGUGUCUCCCUCUCUUACAGUGUGCAUAUUUGUUUCCCUCUCUUGCAAUACAUAUUUCUGUAUUUACGUCUAGCGGUGUGGCUUUGUGUGUUUUUUCCCCUUGCAGUGUGUAUAGUGUUCCUAUAUCAUACAGUGUUGGUGUGUCUCCCUCUCUUUAACAGUGUGUAUUUGUGUUGCCGUCUUAUGUACAUAUGUAUAUCCUUUUCCUCCCUUGCAAAGUAUGCGUUUGUGCAUGUCUCCCACUUGCAAUGUGUAUGCCUUUCCCUCUUGUAAUGUUUGUAUAUGUCUUUACCUUUCAUGCAGUGUGUUUGUGUUUCCCACUUGCAAUGUGUGUGUCUUCCCUCUUUUAAUGUGUAUAUACCUCUUGUAAUGUGUGCCUGUCUUGCCAUACAUAUUUCCAUGUUUCUCUCUCUCAUGCGAUGUGGCUUUGUGUGAGUUUCCCUCUUGCAAUGUUUGUAGCAUUCCUGUCUCUUGCAGUGCUGGUGUGUUCCCCUCUCUUACAGUGUGCAUUUGUGUUGCCAUCGUGCAGUGUGUCCAGCAUUUCUUGCAAUAUAUAUUUAUGUGUUUCCCCAAGAUGGUCAUUGGUGCCACCAGGAGAUACAGACGACACCAUCAGAGGAAGUGAGAUCAACAUGACACUCUAUGCAUUUUUGGAACCAGCUGUUUCCUUCUCCAUCUUUGGAAUUUGGAGGAAGCAAAGGGGUCCGAAGAAGCAGAAUAAACUUUUGAACAAAGGUAGAGACAUAAUUUGUGGUGGAACAAGUUUGGAAGCUUUCUUAUAUGUCAAAAAGAGCAACCCACUGCUUGGAAGUUAAACAAAUUGCAUGGAGGUUGGGUGUCUAUAAAGCUACAGGAAUUACACCAAGCCUUUGCAGCUAAAGCCAAGCUAUGCCCUUGAGACAGUGGAGAUCUAUGUAAGCAGAAAGUAUUAUACAGACUUUGUUUUACUUACUUACUUACCAUAUUUAUAUCCCGCCUUUCUCAACCCCUGGGGGGACUCAAGGGGCUUACAAAUGGCAUUACAUAAUGCUUUACUUAGGCGAUCCCUCAUUGUCCGAGUAUGAUGGUCCUCCAAGUGUAGUGUCUUGGCAGUGGGUACGUAGGUGACUGUAUAGCCCUAUUAUUGUUUUAUCAUUUGCUUUGUGAGGCAAGCUGAAGUUUCAGGGUCACUAUUAUUUAUUAGGAUAUGCCAUCCUUCAAAACAUGCAUAUGAAUGAGUGGAGGAAAAUAUAUGUGGAGAAAGCAGAAGCCUUUAAAACAGUUUUUUUAAUUAACUUGUUACUUAUUGUUAAUAGCUUUGGGCAGUAACUAAGGCAGAACAAUUUAAAUUACAAUGGUUGAAGUUCUGGCUCAUGGUCUUCCUCACACUCUGCUGCUUCAACUGAGAUAUUGGGUGAGAAGUGUUUUGCACAAACGGAUUGCAGUUUUUAGAGUUUAGAUUUUUAAAAAGUAACUAGUAACUGGUGGCUUUAGAGAAACAGGAGUUGUGUUUAAACAAAUCGGCUGAUAAUGUCAACUAGCUAUUUCAGAAGGGCUUAGAUUUAGAACCAUAAUUAUUAUAAUAAAUCACAAUAUAAUUAUAACUGUACGUUAUUCCCCCACUGAGACAGAGAGCCCUUGUCCCAGGAUGACAGCAAUAUAUGCGCGUAAUUACAGAGACAUCUAUAGAAUGUUCUUUUUGUGAAAAGAGAAGAACAUGACAAAGCAUUCCAAUAACAUUUCAUUUCACAUGGAGGGAAGGUACAUAUGUGAAUAUUUUUGGAGGGCAAAUUAUUAUUGCAGGUUAAAAGCUAGCAGACGAAAGGAAAAAGUCAGUAGACUGGCAUAAUUCUAUGCAUGUCUGUUCUGUUCUCGUUCCCAAAAAACGUGUGUACAAUUGCAGGCUUAAAUCUUUCUUUUUUUGUUGCAUAUUAUCAUUCUUUGCUUACUGUUUUUUAAACACAUAGCUUCUAAAGUGCUUCAGUUCUAGGAGAUUUCUAGUGCAUGCUUCUUUUGAAAGCAAUAACCAGCUAUUGUUCAUUUUUCCAAUGUACAAAAUGUUUCAUUUUACCACUAAAUCAUCUUGACUCAGGAAGCCAUCAGUUCGUAAUCCACGCAGGUGGAAAGGGUCAGUCAAUUGGAAACCAAAAUCCCAAGAUGAACACCAUAAUGCCAUGGUUGAAACGUAUGAGAUUCACCUUUUUUUCACUAUAAAUAGAGCAAGGAUAAAUCACCCAAGCUUGUAACGUGGGCCUGGGAAAAAUUAGUCACUGACCUAAAAAUGCUUCCUUCUGGAUGCCAGUGACUACAUUCAGCAGUGCAUAAAAAAUAAUCACAGAAAAUAACAAAAGUAGAUCAAGGAGCACCAUAUGAUAAAGUGAAAAAUAGACUGUGCCAGCCGAAACAGAAGUCAAAACAACAGAAAAUAUUACUUCUGCUCACUAUGUUAUUUUACAUGUGUGUUCCAGGGAAACCAUUUUGAGACAAUCUUAAGAAUCAUGAGACCUGAAAAGUAGGAUGCUUCCAACAAGCAGGUGAUCUUGUAUAGAUAGGUUUAGCUGGAUGAAAAACCUGGCAAACAUGUUUUUUUCUCAAUUUUAACUUCAUUUAGUCAAUCCUUCUUCUCCAACAUCUUCAGUCAGCAGAUGUUGAAUUACAAGUUCCAGAAUUUUUAAGCAUAGGAUUGGGCUUCCUGUGAGCUGAUGUCCAUCAUCAUCUGGGGACCCAAUCCAGAAGCCAUUGAUUCAGCCAACAUACUUUCAAUUUCCCCCAAAGUCCAGGGAUGCCCAGCACUUAGGAUUUGAUUGUUGCACAGCCUCACUUGUGAAAUAUCAUAGAGGUGGACCAAGACAUCAACCUUUUCCACUUGAAACAUUCACAUUUUCCCAUUGUUGUUGUGUGCCUUCAAGUCAAUUUUGACUUACAGAGAUCAGAAAACAAUUCUAUUAUGUGGUUUUCUAAGGUUAAGACUUCAAGUCACGUCAGGUCACCUAGUGGCUGAGUGGGCCAUCAAAUCCUGACUCCAGACUCAUAGUCCAAUGCACAAACCACUACAGGGGGAAGGGAGAUGGAUUAGUUUUUCAGUGCAUUUUAUGCAUAGUAUUAGGAGCUUUCUAUCAAUUACACCAUAAUAGUAAAAUGCAUUGACUGGCAUCCUUUUUCAAUAUUUACAAGAUUGUAAAGUGAUAGAAGCAGGAUGGUGUAGAGGUUUGAACUUUGGGUUAUGGCUCUGGAGACCAGGGCUCAAAUUCCCAUUCAGCCAUGAAUUCUCACUGGGCGACCGUGGAUAUGUCACACUCUCUCAGCCUUACAGGAAUGCAAAGGCAAAGGCAAACCCCCUCUUAACAAAUCUAGCUUUGCCUUAGGGUUGCCAUAAGUCAGAAAUGUCUUGAAGGCACAUAACAACCAGUCUAUUAGGUAAGCUACCUGUGGAGUCCCUGAAUGAGUCAUUACAUUUCUAUAUAUACUGGCUACAAUUUCUCCAAAAUCAGCUUGAUGGAAUCACCCUCAUUUUCACAUCAUAUUCAGGAAGGCUAAGGACUUGUUCUAAGCACUAAAGCCAAGAAGCCUAUCCUUUUAGGAAAGACCCACAAGCUCAAAGAGGCACAGGCAGGAGAAAAAAAUUAUUAAGGAAAGGUUUUAGUCUGCAUUGCAAAGAUCUGUGUGACUAUUAAUGACUUUUAGCAACUUCUGUGUCAGUGGGAACAACCUCUGCUGAGAUAGAAACCUCAACGAAAUUUCAUCUAUAGUAGUAUUUGUGGUGGGCUGGGGCUUUGGAGCCAAUAAUUGUAUGGUACACAGUGGCCCUCAGUUAUCAGAAGAAUAACACUUUCCACUACUUAAUUUUGAUUGUUAAAUUGCCCAAGAGUCUGUCGUUAUACUACUAAUAACAUAGCACAUCAGGUAAAACUGUUGAAUAUGAAGAAAGAACAAUGUCAAGACACAAGAUAAUGGUGCUUUGAACCAGUGUUCCAUAUUUUUGAAAGAACGCAACAAAUCCUAACAACUAUGAACAAUAAGCUAGCGUGAGAGAAAUAAUUGAAAGGUCCCCUGAUACUGUUGCUUCCAGAAGUGAAGAAGGCACACCAUUACCUUGUAUUGCAGUGGUUCUCAACCUGGGGUCCCCAGAUGUUUUUGGCCUACAACUCCCAGAAAUCCCAGCCAGUUUACCAGCUGUUAGGAUUUCUGGGAGUUAAGGCCAAAAACAUUGGGGACCCCAGGUUGAGAACCACUGUUGUAGUUGCUAGUGUGAAUGACUAAGAAAAGUAUUAACAACAGACAACACAGGUUUGGAGGACAUUUUCAGAACAACCUUGAUCAUGAACCAGCAGCUUUACUGGAGAGUUGUACAAAUCAUAUCUUCAAAAUGUGCAGAAUAUACUAAUUCUCAAUGAAUUUGGAAGAUACAUUCCCAUUACAUUUUCCAGUCAUAGAUUUAGCCCUUAACAACUUCAAAUAUUUAGUGUAUGAAAUUUAUUAUUUUUUGUUUAGUUAUUAUAUUUAUACCCCUCCUUCUUCCCCGAGGGCACUGAAGGCGGCUAACAGUUUGUAAGUAACACUUUAUAAGGUAGUACAUACUUACUUAAUCUUUCUUUUGUGUGUAUGUCUUCAAGUUGCCUGCUAAUGAUCUCCAUAUAUUCCAUAGGGUUUUCUUUAGCAAUACUCAAGAGGUGAUUUUGUCUGUUCCUUCCCCUGAAAUACAGCCUAUAGUAUCCAAUAUGUAUUGUUAGUCUCCCAAGUACUAACUAGAGCUGGUCCUGCUUAGCCUCCCAGAUCAGAUGGAAUCUAGUGCCUUUAGGGUACUUAGGCUCCUAUUUUAGUCUCCUGUUUUAAUAUUGUAUGUUUUUUGUAUGCUUUUUGCUUAUUUUAACGAUUGUUUUAUUGCUAUUGAUGUUUUACUGGUAUAAUUGUUUUAUAGUCGUGCUAUUGAUAUUGAUUGUCUUAUCGGGCUAGGCCCCAUGUGAGCCGCCCCGAGUCCCUUCGGGGAGAUGGGGUGGGGUAUAAAAAUAAAGUUGUUGUUGUUGUUGUU